AAGUUAUUUUUUAUGACAAAGAAGCCAUAAACAAAAACUGGGAUGAGUUCCUACUGGAGAUGGUCUAAGCUUGGUUGCGAUAUGGAGAUGAAAUCUCUAAAACUCUUCUUCAAACUUCAUAGCCCGAGGCAAAACUUUCCCAGGCUCCCUGUGUUGCUGUUCGAAGACCCAUAUGUUAUGAGUUAACCAGAUCUGCCAAAUCAAGUAUGCAAUUUGAGCCAUUCUUGUCUUGAAAUGUGGUUUGAAUUUCUCCUCUCCAUUAAUUGGAAUCACCAGUCCCAUGCUUUCACUCCCUGAUCUCUAGGAAUUGCGUUUGUAAAGGGAGAAUUGAACCAGAUGCCACUAAUUUCUGGGCAUAGAAUGACCGCGUAGACAGGAGUCUCCAGCACCGCCAUACAUCGUGGGCAGAGAUAACUGACUUGAGGUUCAAAAUAUUUCUCCACAAUUCUGCCACUCCAUACCUUGGAUGUAGGUUUUUCUGAUGAAGAUGAAAGAAAUGGUAUGCAAUUACAUAUCCUGAGAUAACCGUAUAAGCUCCUUCUAUGUUGUUGUAUCAAAAAUUGAUUCUUCUUCUCUUUUGAUAUAUACUUGUUCAAUCUGUAAGGCUAUUUCUGGGGGAAAGACACUUUGGAGCAACUGCUGAGUCCACUCCCCUGUUUCUGUUAUUAAUUGACACACCCAGUUAGUGUUUCAUCCCUACACUCAUUAGUUGCUAUUCUUAAUGGUGGUUGUUCCCUAAAUCAGGGAUUCUCCUUGAUUCUGACUAGGCUUUGAUUAGUGAUAUUCUAUUUUACUCCCUUCUCUAAAACUUUUCUUCCCUCUAAAAGGCUUUGCCAAGUCCAAGAGGGUCUAGUUCUAGUUUUCGCAUUCAAAAAGGUGUACCUAAAGUAUUUGUUUUUGAAUACUUUGUAAAAAAGAGAGUUAGGAUUAUUCAUAAGAUGCUACCCCUGUUUUGCUAGCAUUGCCAUGUUGAACGCCUUCAAAUUCUUAAACUCUAAACCCCCGAACUCCUUCUCUUUAGUCAUAGUAUCCUAACUUAUCCAUUGCAUUCUCCUUUCAUUUUGUAAGGAAGCUUAAAGCAUCCUAGGGUGUAAAUUGGUAUAACUGAACCAACUGCUUUGAUUAGAACUUCACGCCCGCUUACUGAUAAAAAGGAUUUCUUCGAGUACGCCAGCUUUUUAGACACUUUCUCCUUAAUAUAAGAAAAAGUAGCCUUCUUCGAAUGAUUAACUGUUGACGGGAGUCCCAGAUAUUUAUCUUGCGCUUUGACAUUAGGAAAUCCAAUGUAAUCGACUAGUGUUGUUUUGAUGGCUUAAGGCAUGUUUUUACUGAAAAACACUACUGAUUUGAAGAAAUUCACUUGCUAACCACUUAUUCUACCAAAUAACUAUAAUCAUAGUUGUCAGAAACAGACUGAACUAGUCGGUCAGAUCGAAAAAUGGGUAAACCGCUCACAUGGCCAAUCUGGUUAAGGAAUCUAAUCGAAAAAGGAAAAGAAUUGGUGAAAAUUGGUUUGGACUGGCCAGUUUUGAUAAAACCGGUGAACCAAUAGUUUUGAAUAACUGUCCAGUUCGAAACAAUUUUUUCCGCCGCCGACCACGUCUUCAUCUUGCCGGCCCUGGUGUGUCUCCAUCACUGCAUCGUCACAUUAGUGGCUCUCUUGCACUGCGCCGUUGCGUCCCUUACAAUGCGUCAUCGCGUCUCGUUGCUCCUGUGUAGCUCUUGUCGUCGUCGUCGAGUCCUCAUCAGAGUCUGAUUUUCUGUCAUCGAACAGGCAACGGUGGUUCGUCCCCUCGCUGGCUCAUCGUCACCCUUGGCUCCUCUGUCUCGUCCCAACGCAGCCAGUCUUAGUUUGCCUCUGCUUGUGCUUCCUCUGUCUUGGCCCCUCUGCUUAUGCUUCCUCCUUAUUCCUCCCUUGUUAUCUUCUUGCUUAUUUUUCUUCUGUAGUGUGGGUGAGUUCACUGAGUUAUUUUUUACUUUUUCAAUUUUUUUUUAUAAAUUUUUUAUAAUGAACAUUUUCAAUUUUUUAGAUUCAUUUAAUCAUUCAUUUGGUGUUUCAAUAUUGAAUUCACAUUUGUAUGUAAAAUAGAUUGAUUUAAUUUGUAAUAUGCUUUGAUAAAUUGUAUUUGUAUGUAAAACUAAUUGAUUUAAUUUGUUAUUCUUCUUGUUC
Molecule: non-coding RNA, 2170 nt
Organism: Arachis ipaensis
Lineage: Eukaryota; Viridiplantae; Streptophyta; Magnoliopsida; Fabales; Fabaceae
Source: RefSeq, a predicted model, not a curated record